This 253-nucleotide ribosomal RNA is filed under the name uncultured bacterium. RNAcentral's name for it is "partial 16S ribosomal RNA". It matches the Rfam family "Bacterial small subunit ribosomal RNA", at positions 524 to 776 of the family's 1533-position model. The record is from RNAcentral.
UACGAGGGGGGCGAGCGUUGUUCGGAAUUAUUGGGCGUAAAGGGUGCGUAGGCGGUUUGGUAAGUCUUGUGUGAAAUCUCCAGGCUCAACUUGGAGUCUGCACGAGAAACUGCCGGGCUUGAGUGUGGGAGAGGCGAGUGGAAUUCCUGGUGUAGCGGUGGAAUGCGCAGAUAUCAGGAGGAACACCGAUGACGAAGGCAGAUCUCUGGGCCGUAACUGACGCUGAGGAGCGAAAGCAUGGGGAGCGAACAGG